CAGGAGUAUGUCGAAUACCUCGGCAGUGCAGGAAAGCCUGAAAAAACAUCCGACUAUACAAUUAAAUCAUGGGUUUACGAAAAUUUAUUAGAAUUUUUAUAUUAACGUGUAUUAACGAAUUCGUAAGAAGGAGGUAUGUAGGCUUUUAUUACCUAUGUUUACACAAAUAAAUAACUGUCAUUACAUCCCAAUUAAAGAACAUGAAAGUAAUACAAAAGAAACAUCACAAUAUUAACAGCGGUCCUAAAAAAUACUUAAUCGAAAUGUAACCUUAACACCAAUCUACGUCUUAUAGUAAUAGUGACAGUUGGUCAAAUAACAAAGAAAAAUAUCGUGUCAUCAAAAACUAGACUGUAUUUUAAAAAAUACGGAGGGAAUGUCAUUAUAAGUAUUGCUGUUAAUUUACAACUUAUUUCUCAUAAGUUUCACUUUAUACCUGAAUUUGUAACAUUAAUUUGUUUUUAUAUUAUUACUAAAAAAUAAUUAACACCAAAUUUCAGUCAAACGACUAACAAGUUUUUAUUUUUCCAUUACCUAACAUUUGGUUGAAAAUCUUCGAGCACGAGGAGUAGAGUUCUUGAUAAUUCCACCAAAGUACUGCUAACUGACCAGAGAAAAACUAUCAUACAGCAAGGUGAAGGUGGCUGUGAGUAUAGACAUAUUGAAGCGUCUCAAUAUCCUCAUUGAUUACGUUGAUGACGGAUAUUUACAAAGAACACCCAGGAUCGUGUGGGGCGCCACACUCUUCUUGGAAGUUAUACAGAGAAGAAAUUUCAAUGAAUUCGGCUCCCGCAACAUCAACACCUUAUCCAUCUAAAUCCGCAACUUCAACACCUUAUCCAUCGAAAUCCGCAACUUCAACACCUUAUCCAUCUAAAUCCGCAACAUCAACACCUUAUCCAUCUAAAUCCGCAACUUCAACACCUUAUCCAUCUAAAUCCGCAACUUCAACACCUUAUCCAUCUAAAUCCGCAACUUCAACACCUUAUCCAUCUAAAUCCGCAACUUCAACACCUUAUCCAUCUACAUCCAGCAAGAAAUGUAAGGAAACUUAUAAAUAAGAAAUAAAACUACUGAAUGUUAUAUAUUUUAUUUGAUUAUCAUACAUCGUCAUUUGUGAACAGGAUCUUGUAACGAGAGCUUAUUUACAAUACCAUUUAUUUGCUAGUUCAAAAAGUAUUAUUUAACAUUGCUAAUGUCUUAAUUGACAAGCUGAAAUGCCGAAAUGAAUAUUAUGCAUGUGUAUUAAAGUCUAUUUUCGAUCGAACCGUAGGCCUUAAAAUAGAAAGGCCAAAACAAAAAAUAAAUAAAAAAAUAUAAAAUUUUCAUUUCAACCAAAAGCAACAAUCAUCGAAUCGAAAAAAUGUGCAAAAUGAUUUAAUAAAUACUUAUUUAAUUUUUGCUAUAUUUAAAUAAUGUCACUAAUUUUAUAGUCUAUUUAAUUUUUACGAUAAUUAUUUUCGUCUGUAAUGUACACGGUUCAAUGUUUUGACAAUUACGAUCCGUGAAAAUUUCGGUUCAUAUCAAUAAAAUGGGACAGGCGAUAAAAUACAUUCCUAAUAGUCGAUCUUAAAAAUAUAUAGGCGAAAUAAAAUUGGUCCACAGAACAAUUUUUUUUUU
Molecule: long non-coding RNA, 1620 nt
Organism: Danaus plexippus (monarch butterfly)
Lineage: Eukaryota; Metazoa; Arthropoda; Insecta; Lepidoptera; Nymphalidae
Exons: 2
Source: RefSeq, a predicted model, not a curated record